This 320-nucleotide ribosomal RNA is filed under the name Bacillus sp. G11(2005). Its description in RNAcentral is "bacterial SSU rRNA". It matches the Rfam family "Bacterial small subunit ribosomal RNA", at positions 162 to 482 of the family's 1533-position model. Lineage: Bacteria; Bacillati; Bacillota; Bacilli; Caryophanales; Bacillaceae. The record is from RNAcentral.
GCUAAUACCGGAUAGUCCUUGAACCGCAUGAUUCAAGGAUGAAAGACGGUUUCGGCUGUCACUUACAGAUGGACCCGCGGCGCAUNAGCUAGUUGGUGAGGUAACGGCUCACCAAGGCGACGAUGCGUAGCCGACCUGAGAGGGUGAUCGGCCACACUGGGAUGAGACACGGCCCAGACUCUACGGGAGGCAGCAGUAGGGAAUCUUCCGCAAUGGACGAAAGUCUGACGGAGCAACGCCGCGUGAGUGAUGAAGGUUUUCGGAUCGUAAAGCUCUGUUGUUAGGGAAGAACAAGUGCAAGAGUAACUGCUUGCACCUGA